This 499-nucleotide ribosomal RNA is filed under the name uncultured bacterium. RNAcentral describes it as "bacterial SSU rRNA". It matches the Rfam family "Bacterial small subunit ribosomal RNA", at positions 8 to 518 of the family's 1533-position model. The record is from RNAcentral.
AGAGUUUGAUUCUGGCUCAGAACGAACGCUGGUGGCGUGUCUUAUACAUGCAAGUCGAGCGAGGCAGCAAUGCCGAGCGGCGAACGGGUGAGUAACGCGUAAGCAAUCUGCCCCAUAUCAGGAAAUACCCGUGCCAACGCGCGGUUAAUGUCCAGGAGAGUGGCCCCCUGCAUGGGGGGUUGACUAGAGAUUUAUCGGUAUGGGAUGAGCUUGCGUCCGAUUAGCUAGUUGGCGGGCAACGGCCCACCAAGGCGACGAUCGGUAGCCGGCCUGAGAGGGUGAUCGGCCACAUUGGGACUGAGAUACGGCCCAGACUCCUACGGGAGGCAGCAGUAGGGAAUAUUGCACAAUGGGGGAAACCCUGAUGCAGCAACGCCAACCGUGUGGGAAGAAGCAUUUCGGUGUGUAAACCACUGUCAUGAGGGAAUAAGGCCCGCCUUCGGGCGGGAUUGAAUGUACCUUGAGAGGAAGCACCGGCAAACUUCGUGCCAGCCGCCGC